UUUGUAUUUGAGUUUCAGCUGUCAAUUGUUUUCAAUAAUUUUGUAAAAAAAUGAAGUUUGUCUGUUAGUUUAUGUUUUGAUUGUUUCCAUUUCAAAAUUAUUCAGUGUUGUCCACGUACUAGUUGUUAUAUAAAAAUUGUUGUCCUCCUUACGGUGUCUAGUAGCGACAUUUUAUCCUCCAAACAUUAUACAUAUUUAACUUACAAUUUUUUUUUUAGAUGGCAGUACAGCAGAUCAUUCAAUACAUGCUGAGACAUGAAUUCACAUUUCUACCACUAUGCUAAAUAUCAACAUCCUACGUUGAAAAUGUACUAGACGAUACUGCUAAUAAUAAUGGUUUUGUGCAACAUGGCAGUACAGCAGAUCACUCAAUACAUGCUGAGACAUGAAUUCACAUUUCUACCACUAUGCAAAAUAUCAACAUCCUACGUUGAAAAUGUACUAGACGAUACUGCUAAUAAUAAGGGUUUUGUGCAACGUGCGUGUAAUGGAUGGCAGUACAGCAGAUCACUCGAGGCAUGCUGAGACCAUGAAUUCACAUUUCUAUCACUUGGGAAAGUUACAACAUCUUCCGUUGUAAAUGGAAUAGAAGAUGGCAGUAUAUCAGAUCAAUCAAGGCACGCUGAGACACGAAUUCACAUUUCUACCACCAAGGAAAGUAUCAACAUCCUAUGUUGAAAAUGGACUAGAAGAUACUGAUAAUAAUAUUGGAUUUAUGCAAUGUGCGUGCAAUGGUUAUUGAAUAUAAUUGAUACUAAAUUAAUACCUGUGAAACAAUUGAGAUUUGUUAAAUAUCUGAAUAAAAUAAUA
Molecule: long non-coding RNA, 810 nt
Organism: Rhopalosiphum padi (bird cherry-oat aphid)
Lineage: Eukaryota; Metazoa; Arthropoda; Insecta; Hemiptera; Aphididae
Exons: 4
Source: RefSeq, a predicted model, not a curated record